ACUCCUACGGGAGGCAGCAGUGGGGAAUCUUGGACAAUGGGGGCGAACCCUGAUCCAGCCAUGCCGCGUGAGUGAUGAAGGCCCUAGGGUCGUAAAGCUCUUUCGCCAGGGAUGAUAAUGACAGUACCUGGUAAAGAAACCCCGGCUAACUCCGUGCCAGCAGCCGCGGUAAUACGGAGGGGUUAGCGUUGUUCGGAAUUACUGGGCGUAAAGCGCGCGUAGGCGGACUAUUAAGUCAGGGGUGAAAUCCCGGGGCUCAACCCCGGAACUGCCUUUGAUACUGGUAGUCUUGAGUUCGAGAGAGGUGAGUGGAAUUCCGAGUGUAGAGGUGAAAUUCGUAGAUAUUCGGAGGAACACCAGUGGCGAAGGCGGCUCACUGGCUCGAUACUGACGCUGAGGUGCGAAA
RNAcentral lists this ribosomal RNA (406 nucleotides) under uncultured bacterium. RNAcentral's name for it is "bacterial SSU rRNA". It matches the Rfam family "Bacterial small subunit ribosomal RNA", at positions 335 to 758 of the family's 1533-position model. The record is from RNAcentral.